CAUAAAGAGCAUGGGACUUAUUCUACCCCAGUCAGUUCACAUUGCAGCAGAAGAACGAACGUGUCUGUGGCUCCUUUCUUCAAUUAUUCCCCUUUUCAGCAGUAGUCCCCAAACUACAUUUGGUCCGGCCCCCUGAACAAUACCAGAGAGCAUUCAGAUUCUUCGAAGCCAUGCCUUUAUCGUUUACACAGUCCCAGGAGGAAACUGGAGGAAGGAAUCCAGAGGGACCGUCAGAGAUGCAGGAGGGGACGAGGAAUUGGAACCAGGAAGAGGUGAUCAACCAGGAACCGACUGACACAAGGUGCUAAUUUUGAAGAGAGAAGACUCAAACCUGGUAAACACCUGGGAGGGAGACCAGCUAGGUGUCCGUACAGACGACAGAGGAGGCUGUGACGCAGGCUGAGGAAAAUGCUCUCUGAGACCAGUUCACCAGGACACGCCACCAUCUGCCAAAGUCCUGGACAACACAGCCCCUAAAGGAUCACAGUGGCUUGCAAAGCCCUCCGUUGCAUGAAGCAUCUGCUUGGCGACUGAUUCUACUUCACCCGAAGGAAAUGAAAGGAAAACAUCAGGAGCACCUAGCAACGAGGCGGAGAGCGACUUUACCUAUCCAUUUGGAGCCGAAACAACAGCUGCUGUUGCUUUCAAUUAGUUGCCAGUACUAUACAUCCCUAACACAAAAAGGAAAGCGAAUUUGAACAAAGACAAAAAUGAACAAAUAAUGGCAGGUUGCUAAGCGCAUUGGGGCAGGAGUGUAUAAAUUACCAGGUUGGAAACUCGCAUUCAGAGCUGCCUCCCCGUUGCCACCCAACACAGGGUCUGUCAGAGAGCACACCUACGUGCACUGCAGUGUCCCCGCUCUGUUAUCCUGGACACAGACCUAUUAACGUCUCAACGCUCGGGGCUAUUCUUUUUUGAAUUUCCACCUGAACAAACACCGGAGUUUGAGUCAAUAACGGCUCGACGUGUGUGACACUAAAACGGGCCAAGAAGACAAAAGUUUUCACAAACAAUAAGUCUGCCUGUCACUAGCAACAGGACAGUAGGCUGCUUGACAGCUGAAGCAAAAAUAAAACACUCCUGAUCUGCUGUUCUCCCUGGGUUAAAAGUGGCUCAUAUUCUAACUAUCUCGAAUAUGAGCCACUUUAUAUUGGCUCAUAUAUUGGCUCAUCUGAGUGUACAUAUACACUCAGAUGAGCUGCCAGGAGGUUUAGUCCGAAAACAGCCAAAAGUAGAAACAGACUUCCUAAGUCUAGUCUCAUAAAAAGUAAUAUAAAUUUGUCUGAAUGGGAUAAUUUUUUAAACCUUCUGCUACAUUUGCAUUGAGAGGAAAAAUCAAUGGAAAGACACAAGUACAUAAUGUUAAGAAGUAUAGGUGAAGUUUUGUCAGUCAAUACUUUUUUAAUGCCUUAAUUCAAACCCACCUCUUUCGUUUGGGCUUUGGGCCAGUAAACGUGAUCACAAAGAAACGUUCUGGUUCAGCUACUUCUUCAUUUAGUUUUCUUACGUCAGGUCAAGUUAGGUUUCGCUGUAGACCUGGGAACCUAAAUGAUAAAAUGGUAAAUGGCCUGUAGUUGUACAGUGCUUUAUUAAGUCCAGAGAAUCCCAAAGUGCUUUACACUACAUUCAUUCAGUCACCCAUUCAUGCACAUAUUCACAUCCUGAUGGUAAAUCACAUAAAGUAAUGUGCUCUGUUGGGAAGGGAAUGCUUCAGAGGUUUUUAUGUUGUUUUCUUCAGUAGUUCUUGCUGCAGCACCACCACAGGCGAGGAGGUCAACAGGUUUUUUAGUUGGUUUGGAUGGUUUGACACAGAGCAGUGUGAAAGUGAACCGCACCAGCUGAAAAUAUAACCAGUGUUGCAGUUUUGGUUCUCAGUUGAACCAGACUAUUAGGUGUGAAAACACUCUAAGUAAACGACUGAUCAUUCCAAAGUGAAAACAGUUCAGCUGGAAUGUUUUAGAGACUGAAGUUGUUUUUAGAUAGAAAUCUGCUUUGGACCGGUUCCAUCUCUGUCUAGUUAUCAGCCUCAACCUCUGGGACCAACUAACCUGGAUUUAUGCUGAAUGAAAAUGCCAAAAAGAGUUACAUUCUGCAUUGUGAAUAUUACAAACUAAACUAAAAAGUAAUAUUACUACUGUAAAUGCACGGAUGCAUUUUUCCUUCAGAUGGAAGGACCCUGUAAAGGAAAGAGCAGCUCACUUGUGGUCUGUAAACAAACCCCACCCACAAUUUAAAAAUGAACAUGAACUCCUCAUGUAAAGUGGAGAAGUGCUUCAUGAUGACUAAGAUGUUCAGUUGUGUGUGAGAGCGUUAUUAAAAUUUUACCUGCAUCACGGCUUUCCUGACUUACAGACUGCACGGCGCGACUUCUCUGAAAUCAACGGGGAUUAUUAAUAUAAGCCUUAAAAGACGACUUUAAAGAAACAGAAUUUUUUUUUUUCCUAAGAGGAUUUAGUAAAAAUAAAAGAUACAAACAGUUGCCUCAAAAGCUGACAGACAGACACAAAGGGAGGAUGAGCUGACUUUCGCCAUCCACCUGCAACACAUUUUUAGGUCUGUGAUUUAAAAUCUGCAAUGCAAACAGUGUGGGCCGAUCUAGCUAAAAUAUGCAUAGAAACGUGAGAGGGAACACAAUUAUUUUAUGAUCAAUUUGACUAUAGUCACACACUGGAGACCAAAACCCGCUGCAGUGCUGACACAUCUGACCAAUCAACACGUUUUUUGCUGGAACUGAGCAAACAGCGAGGAGGAUCGUUAGCAUAAUUUAUUGUGUUUAUGUUUUACAACACUGCGAUAAAACAAGAUGGACACCAGUGGGUGGUGAAUAAAUAUUAAUUACAUAAAGAUGAUAAAAGGGACACAAAAGGUGAAGAGUACAAAUGUGCUGUAUGUUUUACAUGGCAUCUCUAAUUUUAGGUAACUCUUCUUUUUUUUUUUACAAUGUACUUUGCUGAAAUUUCAGAAGCUAUUUGUUUUUUUCAAUUAAGGAGACAUGAGUCGCUCAUUUGUUGCUCCGUGACUACCAGAACAUGUCUUCUCUUUAGAUUAGGAUGGAUGUCCUCUUUAUCACUUUGACUUUGCUACAGUUGUUACUACACCUGUCAAUCAGUUAUUUCCGUUGGCAUGAUUUAUUGUCUCUUUUUUUUCUGUCUCUUUUUUACCAAAAACUGGAUGAUGAAAGUCUUCAGUUUGGUGCCUUGGUCUCAACUAUCCCAUUUUUGAAUGACAACUAUGUUUACAAAGAUUUCGAAAGUCAUUUUAUUUCUUGUUUUGUUUAUUUAUCUUGUAUAUUUAAAUGUCUUUCAGUACCAGUGUUAAAUGUUUAUUAGAAUUUAAAGUUUACUGAUGUCUUGGAAUGUUCUCUUGCAUUAUUGUUUUGACAUUACUAUUAUAUUACUUAAAAAUGGUCUCUAAACAACAUUAUCGUGUAUGGCAAUAACUUCUGGAACAAUUUAUCGUCCAGCAAAAUUUGUUAUCAUGACAGGCCUAGUUGUUAUAAUGUCAGAACUUCUGAAUCAGGUACACAACAGAAGCCAUGUCUAUAAUUCCCAAUCACAGCAUUAUCUGGCUGCUGGUGGGAGUGGCACCAAUACAUUUAUUUUUCUUCCUGGAGAAAUCUAAAUCCAGCGGAAACAUAAAUAGAUCCGAGGCAGACAGUUUAUGUGAGAAAACCCUCCAUCUUGCCAGAGUUGAGGCUGUUCUGGAGAGAGCAAAUGGAAUAAAUUCUUCCGAGAAGUCUGUGCAAGACUGGUCAGAACUUACUGGAAACAUUACAACCAGCAGACACCACAUAUUGAGAGCAAAUGUGUGCAAUCUCUCUCCUGAAUGAUAUGCAGUACUGCAGUAUACUGGCUCUUAAUUCCUUAUCUGUUUUUAUACCUGAAAGUGGCAUUUCUCUCCGUCAUGCUUUAAUAAAAGCUAUCCAUUCUCUUCUGCUUAACUGAAACUUGGGGUAAUAGGUAACAGAAGGAUAUCUAGGCAUAUAGUACCUUCACAGUAACACUAACCAGCUCAUUAUGGGGGACAGAAACCUGUUACCAGGGCAGAAGGGAUGCAGUCCCACCAGUAUAUCCUACGUCGUACACACAAAACAUCUAAAGGAAAAUGCCCAGGAGGCAUCCUGAUCUGAUGGCUAAACCACCUAAACUAACUCCUGUUGAGGCUUAGAAGCUCCUGCUUCCAUCAGAGGAUUGAGAUUUCAUCCUAUCUUAAACAGAGCCAAGCCCAUGUCCACCACUGGUAUCUGAGAUCUCAUUCUUUUUGGUCAUCUCAUUAACCUUGGUCAGGGUUGGCAAGGUAAACAGGCUGGUAAAUUGAGACCUUUGAUCUCAAUGUGUUUUUACUGUCUGUUUUGGCAGCCGCUAUGGAGCACUACACACCUUUGAGUCCAUGACAAAUUUUCCCCUAGGGAACGACAAAGUAUAUGAUCUUCUAUUCAAUGCCUGCAGUGCUGCAGAUGAACACCAGUCCAUUGGUCCAUCUUCCCCUUCUUUCUGCCAUCACCCAUGAACAACAUUUUCCCGUAAGGCAAAGACUACAUAGAGGGGAGCAAUCAACAUUUUUCCAGCAGUUAACCAUGACUUCAGACAUCAUCUGCAAAAAUCGAAGAUAAGAGCCUGGGUUUCCCUGACCAGAAACCAUGAAUACACCUUGAGAUAAUGUCUACACCCGAAACAAAUCUGGUAUAAGGGGCAGCUUCUGUUCGACCAUGCUGGACCCUUCGGUUCUUCAUCAGUCAUAGCAACAACUUCCUUUACUGCUGGUAAAUUCAGAAAUCACUUUUGUUUCUAUUUAGCCUGUCACAUAACAUCCCCCUCAAAAAAAUGCUUAGAAGUUUGAGGUUGUACCAUUACAAAACAUGAGAUAUUCAAGAGGUGCCAAUACUUGCAAGGCACAGUUUUAGUAUCCAAGUCUGGCCAUGUCAGUAAAGCCCGUUGACCUAAGAGGGAACAAAUCGAAUUCAUUUACAUACUGGACACGAUGAGGGAAAGGGGGUUGGGGGGUGGCACAAU
Non-coding RNA from Poecilia reticulata (guppy), 5012 nucleotides. NCBI's taxonomy places the organism in Eukaryota, Metazoa, Chordata, Actinopteri, Cyprinodontiformes, Poeciliidae. The record is from RefSeq and is a predicted model, not a curated record.